AUGAGAGAUGUUGUUGUCACCCAUGCCACCCGAUCAACAAGUGUUGAAGUGGACGCUCCCGAGGUCAACCUAAACAAGGAAGAUUCCCGCUCAUCUGAUACGGAUUCCAAGCAUGUGGCUGGUAGCACUUCUGUGUCCACGAAAGAAGGGGAUGCGACCACAUUUCAGAAUGAAAUGCCAUCCAUAGUUGACUCUCAUGUCCCAACGGCUCCAGCAGCUGGUGGUCCACUGGCUGCAACUGUUACCGUUGUGCGGUCUGGCCUACCACCUAGGCUGCGUAGCCCCUGCAAGAUUCCUGCAUAG
This 303-nucleotide ribosomal RNA is filed under the name Triticum aestivum (bread wheat). RNAcentral describes it as "partial small subunit ribosomal RNA". The record is from RNAcentral. Lineage: Eukaryota; Viridiplantae; Streptophyta; Magnoliopsida; Poales; Poaceae.